This 507-nucleotide ribosomal RNA is filed under the name uncultured bacterium. RNAcentral's name for it is "partial 16S ribosomal RNA". It matches the Rfam family "Bacterial small subunit ribosomal RNA", at positions 29 to 507 of the family's 1533-position model. The record is from RNAcentral.
ACGAACGCUGGCGGCGUGCCUAAUACAUGCAAGUCGAACGCUUCUUUCCUCCCGAGUGCUUGCACUCAAUUGGAAAGAGGAAUGGCGGACGGGUGAGUAACACGUGGGUAACCUACCCAUCAGAGGGGGAUAACACUUGGAAACAGGUGCUAAUACCGCAUAACAGUUUAUGCCGCAUGGCAUAAGAGUGAAAGGCGCUUUCGGGUGUCGCUGAUGGAUGGACCCGCGGUGCAUUAGCUAGUUGGUGAGGUAACGGCUCACCAAGGCCACGAUGCAUAGCCGACCUGAGAGGGUGAUCGGCCACACUGGGACUGAGACACGGCCCAGACUCCUACGGGAGGCAGCAGUAGGGAAUCUUCGGCAAUGGACGAAAGUCUGACCGAGCAACGCCGCGUGAGUGAAGAAGGUUUUCGGAUCGUAAAACUCUGUUGUUAGAGAAGAACAAGGACGUUAGUAACUGAACGUCCCCUGACGGUGUCUAACCAGAAAGCCACGGCUAACUACGUG